Molecule: ribosomal RNA, 440 nt
Filed under: uncultured bacterium
Lineage: Bacteria
Description: bacterial SSU rRNA
Rfam family: Bacterial small subunit ribosomal RNA
Source: RNAcentral
CCUACGGGGGGUUGCAGUGGGGAAUAUUGCACAAUGGGCGCAAGCCUGAUGCAGCGACGCCGCGUGAGCGAUGAAGGCCUUCGGGUAGUAAAGCUCUGUCCUAAGGGAAGAAUAAUGACGGUACCUUAGGAGGAAGCCCCGGCUAACUACGUGCCAGCAGCCGCGGUAAUACGUAGGGGGCGAGCGUUAUCCGGAAUCACUGGGCGGAAAGGGGGCGUAGGCGGCCCUGCAAGUCAGGAGUUAAAUCCCUCGGCACAACCGAGGUUAGCUCUUGAAACUGUAGGGCUUGAGUGCAGGAGAGGAGAGCGGAAUUCCUAGUGAAGCGGUGAAAUGCGUAGAUAUUAGGAGGAACCCCAGGGGCGAAGCCGGCUCUCUGCACUGCAACUGACGCUGAGGCACGAAAGCGUGGGGAGCGAAAAGGAUUAGAUACCCCGGUAGCC